GCGGGAAUAGCUCAGUUGGUAGAGCGCAACCUUGCCAAGGUUGAAGUCGCGGGUUCGAGUCCCGUUUCCCGCU
Ignavibacteria bacterium CG1_02_37_35 is the source of this 73-nucleotide non-coding RNA. The record is from Rfam. Lineage: Bacteria; Pseudomonadati; Ignavibacteriota; Ignavibacteria.